UACGAAGGGGGCUAGCGUUGCUCGGAAUCACUGGGCGUAAAGCGCACGUAGGCGGGUUGCUAAGUCAGGGGUGAAAUCCCAAGGCUCAACCUUGGAACUGCCUUUGAUACUGGGGAUCUCGAGUCCGGAAGAGGUGAGUGGAACUGCGAGUGUAGAGGUGAAAUUCGUAGAUAUUCGCAAGAACACCAGUGGCGAAGGCGGCUCACUGGUCCGGUACUGACGCUGAGGUGCGAAAGCGUGGGGAGCAAACGGG
Molecule: ribosomal RNA, 253 nt
Filed under: uncultured bacterium
Lineage: Bacteria
Description: partial 16S ribosomal RNA
Rfam family: Bacterial small subunit ribosomal RNA
Source: RNAcentral